This 274-nucleotide ribosomal RNA is filed under the name uncultured bacterium. RNAcentral's name for it is "partial 16S ribosomal RNA". It matches the Rfam family "Archaeal small subunit ribosomal RNA", at positions 473 to 747 of the family's 1478-position model. The record is from RNAcentral.
AAACCAGCACCUCAAGUGGUCAGGAUGAUUAUUGGGCCUAAAGCAUCCGUAGCCUGUUCUAUAAGUUUCCGGUUAAAUCCAUUAGCUCAACUAAUGGGCUGCCGAAAAUACUGUAGAACUAGGGAGUGGGAGAGGUAGACGGUAUUCGGUAGGAAGGGGUAAAAUCCUUUGAUCUAUUGAGGACCACCUGUGGCGAAGGCGGUCUACCAGAACACGUUCGACGGUGAGGGAUGAAAGCUGGGGGAGCAAACCGGAUUAGAAACCCGAGUAGUCC